CCUACGGGUGGCUGCAGUGAGGAAUAUUGGUCAAUGGGCGCGAGCCUGACCCAGCCAAGUAGCGUGAAGGAUGACUGCCCUACGGGUUGUAAACUUCUUUUAUAAAGGAAUAAAGUGAGGCACGCGUGCCUUUUUGUAUGUACUUUAUGAAUAAGGACCGGCUAACUCCGUGCCAGCAGCCGCGGUUAUACGGAGGAUCCGAGCGUUAUCCGGAUUUAUUGGGUUGAAAUGGAGCGUAGAUGGGUUGUUAAGUCAGUUGUGAAAGUUUGCGGCUCAACCGGAAAAUUGCAAUUGAUACUGGCAGCCUUGAGUACAGUUGAGGUAGGCGGAAUUCGUGGCGUAGCGGUGAAAUGCUUAGAUAUCACGAAGAACACCGAUUGCGAAGGCAGCUUACUAAGCUGCCACUGACAUUGAUGAUCGAAAGUGUGGGUAUCAAACAGGAGUAGAUACCCUAGUAGUC
RNAcentral lists this ribosomal RNA (460 nucleotides) under uncultured bacterium. RNAcentral describes it as "partial 16S ribosomal RNA". It matches the Rfam family "Bacterial small subunit ribosomal RNA", at positions 338 to 795 of the family's 1533-position model. The record is from RNAcentral.